AUGACGAGAGAGUGGCUGGUUUCAGAGCCCUGGAGGGAAAAGUGGCGGCAGUGGACGGGCAGAGGAGGGAGGCAAGCUGCCAGCCCUGCAGACACCCCCCCCCACCUCCCCGACCCGCCAGUGGCAGCCACAGGAGGGGAGAAGUCUGUGGACUCCAAGGUAAUUGCUGGGUUUCCAGACCUCAACCUGAUCCGAUCUAGUAACCAACGCACAGCGAGAAACACGACACAAGACUGGAAGAAGUUUAGAACAGCUCCAGCCGAACAGGGAGGCUCGGGUAGCAUGCAGGUACCCCUCCAGCCAGGCCAAGGGGACAUUGCGUGCACACACGUGUACUCACACUCACAAGUUCUCACGCACGUGUAUACACUCAAGGGCUUGCGCACCAUCAGAGGCACAGCGCUCUACAGUUUGCAAAGGGCCUUCUCCUUUAUCAUCUCCCUUGAUACUGAGGGGCAGAGAAACGGUCCCUGGAUUGGCCAAGGAUUCAUUCCAGAGCUGGCACGACAUGGGCAUCCCCAAUACCCUCAAGAGUCCAGGGCCCAUCCCAUAGGCUGCGCUGCUCAGCUUUCCCCCGGGGUGGCAUCCGGGGAGUUGAAUGGCAACAUAAAUGCCAGGAAAGCUUACACCCAGCUUCCCCGGAUGUACGCAUUCGCCCUGCUUCGCUGGCCUUUCGCAAAUCACACCAGGACUCAGGGACUGGAUCUUCUGAGCGGCCACCUGAGAUCUAGCUGGGGGGACAGAGCCAAGAGCCCCCCACUGGCCUCCUCUGUGGAAUCCCUCAGGCCUCUCUUCCUGGUCUCUCCCCACCACAGGCUCCUGGGCGCACGGCCUCCUCCCUGCCCUAAGGGAUGCUCAUCAGCACAUCACACUUACGGGGCCAUCGUUGCUGCCCCCAUUGUAUCAACUGAGGCCCAGAGAGAGAAACUGACUCAAACCUGGGCCUCUGCAGCUCCUUGUCCUGCCCGCACUCUCCCACGCGCCCACCGUGGCCCAGCCCGGACCCCGCGCCUCCGUCUCCUCUGUCCCCCCCCGCCCCCCCGCGCAGCCCAGGCUGCAGCUCCAGGCCAAGGAAGGGCGGAAGACCCCCCAAGGCCGCCCCACUUCCUCUCCAGUCUGCGAUGA
Molecule: long non-coding RNA, 1125 nt
Filed under: Sus scrofa (pig)
Lineage: Eukaryota; Metazoa; Chordata; Mammalia; Artiodactyla; Suidae
Description: lncRNA (ENSSSCG00070019513.1)
Source: RNAcentral